RNAcentral lists this ribosomal RNA (495 nucleotides) under uncultured bacterium. RNAcentral's name for it is "partial 16S ribosomal RNA". It matches the Rfam family "Bacterial small subunit ribosomal RNA", at positions 28 to 507 of the family's 1533-position model. The record is from RNAcentral.
GACGAACGCUGGCGGCGUGCCUAACACAUGCAAGUAGAACGCUGAAGGAGGAGCUUGCUCUUCUGGAUGAGUUGCGAACGGGUGAGUAACGCGUAGGUAACCUGCCUGGUAGCGGGGGAUAACUAUUGGAAACGAUAGCUAAUACCGCAUAACAGUAGAUGUUGCAUGACAUUUACUUAAAAGGUGCAAUUGCAUCACUACCAGAUGGACCUGCGUUGUAUUAGCUAGUUGGUGGGGUAACGGCUCACCAAGGCGACGAUACAUAGCCGACCUGAGAGGGUGAUCGGCCACACUGGGACUGAGACACGGCCCAGACUCCUACGGGAGGCAGCAGUAGGGAAUCUUCGGCAAUGGACGGAAGUCUGACCGAGCAACGCCGCGUGAGUGAAGAAGGUUUUCGGAUCGUAAAGCUCUGUUGUAAGAGAAGAACGAGUGUGAGAGUGGAAAGUUCACACUGUGACGGUAUCUUACCAGAAAGGGACGGCUAACUACGUG